Molecule: unclassified non-coding RNA, 306 nt
Filed under: plant metagenome
Description: partial contains 5.8S ribosomal RNA, internal transcribed spacer 2, and large subunit ribosomal RNA
Rfam family: 5.8S ribosomal RNA (bases 1-105)
Source: RNAcentral
GAAAUGCGAUAAGUAAUGUGAAUUGCAGAAUUCAGUGAAUCAUCGAAUCUUUGAACGCACAUUGCUCCCGCCAGUAUUCUGGCGGGCAUGCCUGUCCGAGCGUCAUUUCAACCAUCAAGCCCCCGGGCUUGUGUUGGGGACCUGCGGCUGCCCGCAGGCCCUGAAAACCAGUGGCGGGCUCGCUGUCACACCGAGCGUAGUAGCAAUCACCUCGCUCAGGGCGUGCUGCGGGUUCCGGCCGUUAAACAGCCUUACAAAACCCAAGGUUGACCUCGGAUCAGGUAGGAAGACCCGCUGAACUUAAGC